UCUCUGGUAGCUCAAAAAGGUAGAGCAAUUGACUGUUAAUCAGUUGGCUAUUAGUUCAAAUCUAAUCCAGAGAGC
Molecule: transfer RNA, 75 nt
Filed under: Cyanidium caldarium
Lineage: Eukaryota; Rhodophyta; Bangiophyceae; Cyanidiales; Cyanidiaceae
Description: tRNA-Asn
Rfam family: tRNA
About the family: Transfer RNA (tRNA) molecules are approximately 80 nucleotides in length.
Source: RNAcentral